This 497-nucleotide ribosomal RNA is filed under the name uncultured bacterium. RNAcentral describes it as "partial 16S ribosomal RNA". It matches the Rfam family "Bacterial small subunit ribosomal RNA", at positions 28 to 507 of the family's 1533-position model. The record is from RNAcentral.
GAUGAACGCUGGCGGCGUGCCUAAUACAUGCAAGUCGAGCGAACGGACGAGAAGCUUGCUUCUCUGAUGUUAGCGGCGGACGGGUGAGUAACACGUGGAUAACCUACCUAUAAGACUGGGAUAACUUCGGGAAACCGUAGCUAAUACCGGAUAAUAUUUUGAACCGCAUGGUUCAAAAGUGAAAGACGGUCUUGCUGUCACUUAUAGAUGGAUCCGCGCUGCAUUAGCUAGUUGGUAAGGUAACGGCUUACCAAGGCAACGAUGCAUAGCCGACCUGAGAGGGUGAUCGGCCACACUGGAACUGAGACACGGUCCAGACUCCUACGGGAGGCAGCAGUAGGGAAUCUUCCGCAAUGGGCGAAAGCCUGACGGAGCAACGCCGCGUGAGUGAUGAAGGUCUUCGGAUCGUAAAACUCUGUUAUUAGGGAAGAAAAUAUGUGUAAUUAACUGCGCACAUCUUGACGGUACCUAAUCAGAAAGCAACGGCUAACUACGUG